This 736-nucleotide ribosomal RNA is filed under the name uncultured bacterium. Its description in RNAcentral is "bacterial SSU rRNA". It matches the Rfam family "Bacterial small subunit ribosomal RNA", at positions 76 to 826 of the family's 1533-position model. The record is from RNAcentral.
UUCGUACGAAGGUGUCCUAGUGGCGAACGGGUGAGUAACACGUAGGUGACCUGCCCCGAAGAGAGGGAUAACCCCGGGAAACUGGGGCUAAUACCUCAUGAGCUCCUUGGAGUUAGAGGUCCUUGGAGGAAAGGGAGUAAUCCGCUUCGGGAGGGGCCUGCGGCCCAUCAGCUAGUUGGUAGGGUAAUGGCCUACCAAGGCGACGACGGGUAGGGGGCCUGAGAGGGUGGUCCCCCACAAUGGCACUGAAACACGGGCCAUACACCUACGGGUGGCAGCAGUGGGGAAUAUUGCCCAAUGGACGAAAGUCUGAGGCAGCAACGCCGCGUGCGCGAUGAAGGCCUUCGGGUUGUAAAGCGCUUUUCUGGGGGAAGAGGAAGGACGGUACCCCAGGAAUAAGUCUCGGCUAACUACGUGCCAGCAGCCGCGGUAAAACGUAGGAGGCAAGCGUUAUCCGGAUUUACUGGGCGUAAAGCGUGUGCAGGCGGUUUGGCAAGUCGGACGUGAAAGUUCCCGGCUCAACUGGGAGAGGCCGUUCGAUACUUCCAGACUUGAGGGCAGUAGAGGGAGGUGGAAUUCAGGGUGUAGCGGUGAAAUGCGUAGAUAUCCUGAGGAACACCAGUGGCGAAGGCGGCCUCCUGGGCUGUCCCUGACGCUAAGACACGAAAGCUAGGGGAGCAAACGGGAUUAGAAACCCCGGUAGUCCUAGCUGUAAACGAUGCAGACUUGGUGUUGG